ACCUGGGUUUGACAUAUAGGUUGUAGGGAACUGAAAAGGACGACCCUUCGGGGAGCCUAUACAGGUGUUGCAUGGCUGUCGUCAGCUCGUGUCGUGAGAUGUUCGGUUAAGUCCGCUAACGAGCGCAACCCUCGUCGUAUGUUAUAUGUGUCAUACGAGACUGCCGGUAAAAGCCGGAGGAAGGUGAGGAUGAUGUCAAGUCAGCAUGACCUUUAUAUCCAGGGCUACACACACGCUACAAUGGUCUGUACAAUGGGUAGCCAAGCCGCGAGGCGGAGCCAAUCCUGAAAGCAGGCCUCAGUUCAGAUUGCAGUCUGCAACUCGACUGCAUGAAGCCGGAGUUGCUAGUAACCGCAGGUCAGCAAUACUGCGGUGAAUACGUUCCCGGGUCUU
This 393-nucleotide ribosomal RNA is filed under the name uncultured Anaerolineaceae bacterium. RNAcentral describes it as "bacterial SSU rRNA". It matches the Rfam family "Bacterial small subunit ribosomal RNA", at positions 973 to 1382 of the family's 1533-position model. Lineage: Bacteria; Bacillati; Chloroflexota; Anaerolineae; Anaerolineales; Anaerolineaceae. The record is from RNAcentral.